CCUACGGGAGGCAGCAGUGAGGAAUAUUGGUCAAUGGGCGCGAGCCUGAACCAGCCAAGUAGCGUGAAGGAUGACUGCCCUACGGGUUGUAAACUUCUUUUAUAAAGGAAUAAAGUGAGGCACGUGUGACUCAUUGAGAGUACCCGAAGAAAAAGCAUCGGCUAACUCCGUGCCAGCAGCCGCGGUAAUACGGAGGAUGCGAGCGUUAUCCGGAUUUAUUGGGUUUAAAGGGUGCGCAGGCGGAGGUGCAAGUCAGCGGUCAAAUUGCGGGGCUCAACCCCGUACUGCCGUUGAAACUGCAUCCCUUGAGUGCGCGAGAAGUAUGCGGAAUGCGUGGUGUAGCGGUGAAAUGCAUAGAUAUCACGCAGAACUCCGAUUGCGAAGGCAGCAUACCGGCGCGCAACUGACGCUCAUGCACGAAAGCGUGGGUAUCGAACAGGAUUAGAUACCCUUGUAGUC
This 459-nucleotide ribosomal RNA is filed under the name uncultured bacterium. RNAcentral describes it as "partial 16S ribosomal RNA". It matches the Rfam family "Bacterial small subunit ribosomal RNA", at positions 338 to 795 of the family's 1533-position model. The record is from RNAcentral.